GAGGACACAGAGAGAGACCUAAGAGAGCUCAUGUGGCUGCAAUGGUAUUUUCCUAUCUCACCAACCAGAUACAUUACUUGUUAUCUUGUGGGGAGGAGCCAAAAGAAAAAUACUUCUGGCAGAGGAGAAGAGCUUAUAUUACGGGUCAACAGAAAUUCAGGGAGAGGAAGAAAUGGCUCACUGUCAUUGUCUCCAUGGUCUAUGAGGCCAGACUGGGAAAGAACCGCUCUCUAUUUUCCCAUCUCUUCAUCCAGUUGCUGAAGACUGAACUUGCUCUUGCUCCUUUCAGGCUCUGCUGGUCUUUCUGUGUCCCACGUGGGGAUGAUGGGAGGAGGAAUAGCUAAAGGCAUCAAUUCUG
Molecule: long non-coding RNA, 358 nt
Filed under: Equus caballus (horse)
Lineage: Eukaryota; Metazoa; Chordata; Mammalia; Perissodactyla; Equidae
Description: lncRNA (ENSECAG00000053685.1)
Source: RNAcentral